AGUGAACGCUGGCGGCAGGCCUAACACAUGCAAGUCGAGCGGCAGCGCGUCCGACCACCCUCGGGUGGUCGGAUGGCGGCGAGCGGCGGACGGGUGAGGAAUGCAUCGGAAUCUGCCUCGUUGUGGGGGAUAACGUAGGGAAACUUACGCUAAUACCGCAUACGACCUACGGGUGAAAGUGGGGGACCUUCGGGCCUCACGCGAUGAGAUGAGCCGAUGCCGGAUUAGCUAGUUGGCGGGGUAAAGGCCCACCAAGGCGACGAUCCGUAGCUGGUCUGAGAGGAUGAUCAGCCACACUGGAACUGAGACACGGUCCAGACUCCUACGGGAGGCAGCAGUGGGGAAUAUUGGACAAUGGGGCAACCCUGAUCCAGCCAUGCCGCGUGUGUGAAGAAGGCCUCGGUUGUAAG
RNAcentral lists this ribosomal RNA (410 nucleotides) under uncultured bacterium. Its description in RNAcentral is "bacterial SSU rRNA". It matches the Rfam family "Bacterial small subunit ribosomal RNA", at positions 30 to 429 of the family's 1533-position model. The record is from RNAcentral.